UGGGGACAAUGGGGACAGUGGGGGGCAAUGGGGACAGUGGGGACAGUGGGGGUCAAUGUGGGUCAGUGGGGACACUGGGGAACAAUGGGGUCAGUGGGGGUCAAUGGGGACAGUGGGGACAUUGGGGACAAUGAGGUGCAAUGGGGACAAUGGGGACAGUGGUAGUCAAUGGGGACACUGGGGACAAUGGGGGACAGUGGGGACAAUGAGGUGCAAUGGGGACAGUGGGGACAGUGUGGGUCCAUGGGGGACAAUGGGGGUGAGUGGGGACAACACGGGGGGGCAUUUGGGGACAGUGGGGGUCAAUGGGGACAAUGGGGGACAAUGGAGGACAAUGGGGAACACUGGGGACAAUGGGGACAGCGUGGGGCAGUGGGGACAAUGUGGGGACAGCGUGGGGCAGUGGGGACAUGGGGACG
This 419-nucleotide long non-coding RNA is filed under the name Numida meleagris (helmeted guineafowl). RNAcentral's name for it is "lncRNA (ENSNMEG00000006142.1)". Lineage: Eukaryota; Metazoa; Chordata; Aves; Galliformes; Numididae. The record is from RNAcentral.